RNAcentral lists this long non-coding RNA (543 nucleotides) under Danio rerio (zebrafish). RNAcentral describes it as "si:ch211-233b16.5 (ENSDARG00000098202.2)". Lineage: Eukaryota; Metazoa; Chordata; Actinopteri; Cypriniformes; Danionidae. The record is from RNAcentral.
CUUGGACAGCCAGUUCCACCAGCUCCACUAUCCGCUCCUGAAGGCCAGCAUCCACAGCGCCGUUGCCCAGCCGCUGGUUGCAGGCUCUGAUGAUACGAUCACACAUUGUGCGACCAUAAGGACCCAAGCCACCAUCCACAUGUUUCUACAGCAAAAGUCAUAAAAUAAACGCUUCAGCAUUGUGCACGACGGCAGCCUGCAUUAUAGCAUCCAGACCAGCCUCAGGAGAGUCCAGGUUGCCAGAGAUGUUCUGUUUACUCACCUCCCGUUCAAACUCUCUGCCAUCACUCGUCAGUGGCAGGACAUUCUGGAACAUGAACGCUUUCUGGCAAGUGUUUAUGCGAUUGGGACAGGGGUUCUUACGUCUCGGUGGCAGCUGACUGACAUACGGCAACAUCUCCUUAUCAACAAAAGACCCGAAACCUGAAAGUGGAGAAAGGUGUAAGCAAGAAUAACUCAAAUAUAGUUCUGAUUAAAUUACUGCAGGUUCUUUAAAGGAGCUGUAUGUAUGUCACGUUUUAGAGUCAAUGUCUGAACAGUUUG